RNAcentral lists this ribosomal RNA (2136 nucleotides) under Campylobacter jejuni. RNAcentral's name for it is "partial 23S ribosomal RNA". It matches the Rfam family "Bacterial large subunit ribosomal RNA", at positions 1 to 2141 of the family's 2925-position model. The record is from RNAcentral. Lineage: Bacteria; Pseudomonadati; Campylobacterota; Epsilonproteobacteria; Campylobacterales; Campylobacteraceae.
AGGUAAGCUACUAAGAGCGAAUGGUGGAUGCCUUGACUGGUAAAGGCGAUGAAGGACGUACUAGACUGCGAUAAGCUACGGGGAGCUGUCAAGAAGCUUUGAUCCGUAGAUUUCCGAAUGGGGCAACCCAAUGUAUAGAGAUAUACAUUACCUAUAUAGGAGCGAACGAGGGGAAUUGAAACAUCUUAGUACCCUCAGGAAAAGAAAUCAAUAGAGAUUGCGUCAGUAGCGGCGAGCGAAAGCGCAAGAGGGCAAACCCAGUGCUUGCACUGGGGGUUGUAGGACUGCAAUGUGCAAGAGGUAAGUUUAGCAGAACAUUCUGGAAAGUAUAACCAUAGAGGGUGAUAGUCCCGUAUGCGAAAAACAAACCUUAGCUAGCAGUAUCCUGAGUAGGGCGGGACACGAGGAAUCCUGUCUGAAUCCGGGUCGACCACGAUCCAACCCUAAAUACUAAUACCAGAUCGAUAGUGCACAAGUACCGUGAGGGAAAGGUGAAAAGAACUGAGGUGAUCAGAGUGAAAUAGAACCUGAAACCAUUUGCUUACAAUCAUUCAGAGCCCUAUGUAGCAAUACAGGGUGAUGGACUGCCUUUUGCAUAAUGAGCCUGCGAGUUGUGGUGUCUGGCAAGGUUAAGCAAACGCGAAGCCGUAGCGAAAGCGAGUCUGAAUAGGGCGCUUAGUCAGAUGCUGCAGACCCGAAACGAAGUGAUCUAUCCAUGAGCAAGUUGAAGCUAGUGUAAGAACUAGUGGAGGACUGAACCCAUAGGCGUUGAAAAGCCCCGGGAUGACUUGUGGAUAGGGGUGAAAGGCCAAUCAAACUUCGUGAUAGCUGGUUCUCUCCGAAAUAUAUUUAGGUAUAGCGUUGUGUCGUAAUAUAAGGGGGUAGAGCACUGAAUGGGCUAGGGCAUACACCAAUGUACCAAACCCUAUCAAACUCCGAAUACCUUAUAUGUAAUCACAGCAGUCAGGCGGCGAGUGAUAAAAUCCGUCGUCAAGAGGGAAACAACCCAGACUACCAGCUAAGGUCCCUAAGUCUUACUUAAGUGGAAAACGAUGUGAAGUUACUUAAACAACCAGGAGGUUGGCUUAGAAGCAGCCAUCCUUUAAAGAAAGCGUAAUAGCUCACUGGUCUAGUGAUUUUGCGCGGAAAAUAUAACGGGGCUAAAGUAAGUACCGAAGCUGUAGACUUAGUUUACUAAGUGGUAGGAGAGCGUUCUAUUUGCGUCGAAGGUAUACCGGUAAGGAGUGCUGGAGCGAAUAGAAGUGAGCAUGCAGGCAUGAGUAGCGAUAAUUAAUGUGAGAAUCAUUAACGCCGUAAACCCAAGGUUUCCUACGCGAUGCUCGUCAUCGUAGGGUUAGUCGGGUCCUAAGUCGAGUCCGAAAGGGGUAGACGAUGGCAAAUUGGUUAAUAUUCCAAUACCAACAUUAGUGUGCGAUGGAAGGACGCUUAGGGCUAAGGGGGCUAGCGGAUGGAAGUGCUAGUCUAAGGUCGUAGGAGGUUAUACAGGCAAAUCCGUAUAACAAUACUCCGAGAACUGAAAGGCUUUUUGAAGUCUUCGGAUGGAUAGAAGAACCCCUGAUGCCGUCGAGCCAAGAAAAGUUUCUAAGUUUAGCUAAUGUUGCCCGUACCGUAAACCGACACAGGUGGGUGGGAUGAGUAUUCUAAGGCGCGUGGAAGAACUCUCUUUAAGGAACUCUGCAAAAUAGCACCGUAUCUUCGGUAUAAGGUGUGGUUAGCUUUGUAUUAGGAUUUACUCCGAAAGCAAGGAAACUUACAACAAAGAGUCCCUCCCGACUGUUUACCAAAAACACAGCACUCUGCUAACUCGUAAGAGGAUGUAUAGGGUGUGACGCCUGCCCGGUGCUCGAAGGUUAAUUGAUGGGGUUAGCAUUAGCGAAGCUCUUGAUCGAAGCCCGAGUAAACGGCGGCCGUAACUAUAACGGUCCUAAGGUAGCGAAAUUCCUUGUCGGUUAAAUACCGACCUGCAUGAAUGGCGUAACGAGAUGGGAGCUGUCUCAAAGAGGGAUCCAGUGAAAUUGUAGUGGAGGUGAAAAUUCCUCCUACCCGCGGCAAGACGGAAAGACCCCGUGGACCUUUACUACAGCUUGACACUGCUACUUGGAUAAGAAUGUGCAG